GGGGAUUGUUUGGCUUUAGGUUGCUUGCUUGGUUUUGUUGCUGAGUGGGUGGUUUUUAGCUUGAUCUUCUUCGAGGAUGUCAACCGUAAAGGUGCAUGAGUGGUGUUUGGUUUGUUACGGGUGGUUGGAUGUCUGUUUGCGCAGCGACUUCCAUGCGUUCAUGCCUCUUCAGUUGUGUUACAAGGCAUUAUUUGUCUUGUGCAUCCAAUGGGUUUCUGUGUUUCAUACCUAAAGAAGGCAUUAAUUGGGCAGAUGAAAGUUCAUUUUCGUAAUGCAUUGCUUGCAGUGUCGUACGAACCCUGAAGCGGUCUCUAUGGUCCUUGCUAUUCUUGCCAGAGCAUUGAUGGCAUGGCCUUUGGAGUGUCGUUUGGUGUUUAGAAUAUGGAAUUUGAUGUGGGCAUUAGGGUCUUUUAUGAUUCUAUGCUUGUCCUCUUUUAGCGUUCUUGCUUCUUUAAACGAUCGACUGUCAUGUUCGUGCAUGGCGGGCUGUGUCGAAAAGGAAUGC
Molecule: unclassified non-coding RNA, 505 nt
Filed under: Lygodesmia juncea
Lineage: Eukaryota; Viridiplantae; Streptophyta; Magnoliopsida; Asterales; Asteraceae
Description: partial external transcribed spacer
Source: RNAcentral